This 29-nucleotide small RNA is filed under the name Bombyx mori (domestic silkworm). Its description in RNAcentral is "ovarian small RNA-30452". The record is from RNAcentral. Lineage: Eukaryota; Metazoa; Arthropoda; Insecta; Lepidoptera; Bombycidae.
UGAAACUGACUUUGGUAAAUGUCAAUGAA